CAACUAUAUAUGCCAUAGUUUUAUUUAUUGAAACUAAUACAACUGAUUAUGUGCCACUUAAUUGGAUAAGUGAAGUUAAAAUCAAUUCACUUCCAUCCAUUAUUGAAAAUAAAGUGUCUGUUAAAGUUUAUUGACCAAAUGGGAAAAAUUUAAAUCCAACAGGUAUUGCAAAGGCUAAAAACAAUCUAAUUCAAAGACAGUCUUAAUGAGGCAAGGUCAGAGGCUAAAAGAGCUGAGGACACAUCCAACUUGGAUAUAGCAGAAGAAAAUGCAUUAAAAUCUGUUAGAAGGUAACUUUAUUUAUGGAAUUUUAUAACUUAAUAAAAAAUUAUAUAUCUUUGUAUGUGUGUAUUUAUUUAUAAAACUUUUAGAUAUAAAAUGAUUAGUUCCUCUGAGAAUGAAGAAAAAGAAUACAAUCAGAUUUUACAAAGAAACUGAAAAAAAACAUUCGGCACAAAAAAAGAAAACCGAUGCUUUAUGUGUUACUUAAGUAGACAAAUAUCCUCCACCUUUCAUUUACAAAGAGCCUCAGAAUUUACUGAAUCUGUAAGUAACAUUGUGCUU
Non-coding RNA from Hydra vulgaris (swiftwater hydra), 564 nucleotides. NCBI's taxonomy places the organism in Eukaryota, Metazoa, Cnidaria, Hydrozoa, Anthoathecata, Hydridae. The record is from RefSeq and is a predicted model, not a curated record.